GACGAACGCUGGCGGCGUGCUUAACACAUGCAAGUCGAACGGAAAGGCCCUGCUUUUGUGGGGUGCUCGAGUGGCGAACGGGUGAGUAACACGUGAGUAACCUGCCCUUGACUUUGGGAUAACUUCAGGAAACUGGGGCUAAUACCGGAUAGGAGCUCCUGCUGCAUGGUGGGGGUUGGAAAGUUUCGGCGGUUGGGGAUGGACUCGCGGCGUAUCGGCUUGUUGGUGGGGUAGUGGCUUACCAAGGCUUUGACGGGUAGCCGGCCUGAGAGGGUGACCGGCCACAGUGGGACCGGGAGACGGCCCAGGCUGCUACGGGAGGCAGCAGUGGGGAAGAUUGCACAAUGGGCGGAAGCCUGAUGCAGCAACGCCGCGUGCGGGUUGACGGCCUUCGGGUUGUAGACCGCUUUCGCCUGUGACGAAGCGUGAGUGACGGUAAUGGGUAAAGAAGCACCGGCUAACUACGUG
RNAcentral lists this ribosomal RNA (468 nucleotides) under uncultured bacterium. RNAcentral describes it as "partial 16S ribosomal RNA". It matches the Rfam family "Bacterial small subunit ribosomal RNA", at positions 28 to 507 of the family's 1533-position model. The record is from RNAcentral.